This 371-nucleotide long non-coding RNA is filed under the name Homo sapiens (human). RNAcentral's name for it is "HSALNT0393641". The record is from RNAcentral. Lineage: Eukaryota; Metazoa; Chordata; Mammalia; Primates; Hominidae.
GGCUUUUGCAAUCACCAUAGGAAGAAGAUUCCACAGUAGCCUGUGAUUCCAGAAGAAUGAAAGACAUGUGGAGCAGCUAUGGACCAAGUUAACUAGAAGCCAACUUAGAUUAGCCAUUCUUCAGCCACAGACAUGCAGCACGUGGUUGGGUGCAGCUUGCAAUCACAAAUCAAAACGGAAGAGGAAGAGGACAACUGUAUAAAGCAGCGUGAUUUAAGUUGAUCUGUGGGACAAAGAGUUAAGCCACAAAUAUUUGGGGAGAGAGGCAUUUUAUAAAACACUGAGAAGGCAAUAGAGAUUCUACUUCAUCCAGGACAGAGAGAAUAGGCCAUAAUUCUGGUGAAAGAAAAUAUUGAAAACUCCAUCUUGGC